GGAUGCGAUCAUACCAGCACUAAAGCACCGGAUCCCAUCAGAACUCCGAAAUUAAGCGUGCUUGGGCGAGAGUAGUACUAGGAUGGGUGACCUCCUGGGAAGUCCUCGUGUUGCAUUCC
This 119-nucleotide ribosomal RNA is filed under the name Triticum aestivum (bread wheat). Lineage: Eukaryota; Viridiplantae; Streptophyta; Magnoliopsida; Poales; Poaceae. The record is from RNAcentral. RNAcentral also lists the same sequence under 2 other names.